This is a non-coding RNA of Zootoca vivipara (common lizard), 5941 nucleotides long. NCBI's taxonomy places the organism in Eukaryota, Metazoa, Chordata, Lepidosauria, Squamata, Lacertidae. The record is from RefSeq and is a predicted model, not a curated record.
GAGAGGGGGCAACUACCGCAUUUGUCUGUCUUUUUUACUCACGCUUAAAUGCUGUUUUAGAUAUGAGGGCGCAGUGAUGCCUGUGAAAGCCACAUUGAUAAAUAUUUAUUGAUAAAUAUUUAUGGAUUUAUGUAUCUGAAGAAGUGUGCAUGCACACGAAAGCUCAUACCAAAAUAAAAACUUAGUUGGUCUUUAAGGUGCUGCUGAAGGAAUUUUUUUUUAUUUUGCUUCGACUCAGACCAACACGUCUACCUACCUGUAACUAUUUAUGGACUGCUAUUGAGUGAAUGGAAAUUACUGCUUCAUAUGUAACUUGGCUUGCUGGCAAACCUUUAUUGGUACAAUAGACCAGAAUAGAAAUCUCGUGCACAGUUCCUACAGUCAUGUGGGUAACUUGCUGGACUUGCCACUCAAGAUUUUCUGAUAUAAGAUGAAUUAUUAAUACCUUCCAACAUGGUAGCUAACUGUAUUUAAGGUGCUGCCUUGAACUGUUGAAAGGUUGCAAUGUUUGAGACUUCUUAGCUUAGAUUAGGUCUUGUCCACACUUCCACUUGUCCUGCCUCUUCCCCCUUGUUUACCACUGAAUUGUAACAAAUGUCAAUCAGGUUUUCUGCGGAUUGACAUUUAUUCUGAUUCAGCGGUAAAUGGUGGGUUUUCCCGGGGAAAGUGGUGGGGCAAACAGAAAACCACUCAGACUUGUUUUUCUCCUUCGCUUAUAACACUAGAACUUGUGAAGCUGAAUAUUGUAAGACAAAAGGCAGGACUUGUUCAUGCAGCACAUAGUUGAAGUAUAGCAUUUGCUCCCCCAUGAGGCAGUGAUGGAGACCAACUUGGAUGGCUUAAAAAGAGGAUUAGACAAAAUUGUGGAAGAGGGGAGCUGUCAAUGACUAGUAGCUCUGAUGGCAGUGAUCUGUCUCCAUGGUCGGAGGUAAUAAUGCUUCCGAAUACACGUUGCUGGAAGCCAAGGAAGGGAAGAGUGGUCUUGUGCUCAGAUGCUGCUUGCAGGAUUUCCACACACAUUUACCUUUACAAUGUAGCCUAGUGAGAAGACCCCCAUCCCCUUUGCUCUGUACUGUACUAACAAAUUGCAUAAACUAUUUCUUUGCAACAUUGCAUUUUUUUCUUUGAUUGUUGAGUUGUAGGACUUUUGUCCUAUUUGAAUAUUGUCGUAUUUGAAUAUAGAUAUUCUCUUUAGUAAGAGACAAGUCUAUGAAGGCAUGCAGAUGGGAUGUUCUGGUAUAUUUGCUGUUUCAGUAUCUGCUAAUUGGACAAAAUAACGUUUUUAUGGAAACACAUAGAAACUGCUAGUCUUGAGGGAGUCAUUUUCUACAAAGCAUUUAUAGUAGUGUUUUUAAUCUGUUGAGUGUAUCUAUGAAAUGUUAGUUACAGUACUGAAAUAAAGAUGGCUCUGAGCUGUGUCAAUAACUGUGUGAUAAAUCUGAAGUGUUCAUAUCUCUUAGUGGAGCUCUAGUGUGAAGCUGUACAUUUAUUUCUUUUGAAUGCUAUUGUCACAAACUUAUUUAGAUUUGAAUUUGAACUAGUAUAGUCUGCCUUAUGCAUUUUAAUCUCCAGUUGCGGACAGGAUCCAUUCCGGAGGUCUGGCUGGAUCCCGAGGUUUUCACAACCAGAGGACCGCUUCUGCACAUUCGCAUGCGGCAAAACCCGGUAAAAUACUUCCGGGUUUGCUGCUUAUGUAUGCCGAAGUUUACGUAACCAGAGGGCUACGUAAGCGGAGAUACUACAGUACUGUAUUUUGGUAGUCUCUUGUUUUACUCACUGUGAUUAUUAGUGUAAAAUGAUAGGAGUUCAAAGUUAAAUUUUCAUUAUUCUGUUUCUCUUUAUUGUUAACAGAUCAACAUAGUGAAAUAUUUAUACAUUGCAGCUGGCAAAUGUUUUGGGUAUGAACAAAAGUAGUCAUCUUGGAGUUUUGCAGGUUGGGUGUAAACUGCUUACAACAGCUAUGACACCUGCUCUUCAAGAGAAAGCAAUGAAAGGGCACAGUAUCUGCUUAUCAUCUUCCUUGUCUUCAAGAGUCAUGGAGUCCAAUGAUGCAUUAGGCAUGGGAAGUACCAGACCAGUAAAAGAGAAGAUGAAAGAUGGUUCUGUCACAAAAAUUACUUGCUCUGUGCUGGGGUUCCCCAUUCCUCAAGCCAACCAUAGCACUGAUUGCUUUAACUUAAAGUACUUUGGUUCUCAGUCUUCUAAACACUAUCCAGUAUUAAUGAGCCCCAGUUCUACUUUCCAUGUAAGCAAUAAAAAUUGUGUGCAGAGGAACUCAGAAGAGCAUAGCUGUUCCAAGGUGAGAAAUCCAUUAUGUAACAGCACUAAUACACACUUCAGUCAAAUUAUUAAUUCAGAAUCUGGGGAGCAGGUCAGAGGGGAAACUUUAUUAGGAUCAACAAAGAACUUACCUGAAAUAGGAAAACUAUUUGAUUCAUGUUUAACUGAAUCCCACAAUGUAGAAGAAAGGCAGCUUUCUAACUGUAAAGGGUAUCAGAAGAAUGGCUUUUUGAGCAAGGCAUUAUUUAAUAAUCCUGAGACAAAAAAAGGAGACCUGCUCCAUCAAGUGUGUGAUGAUGCCCUGGAACCAAAAAUGAACUACAAUCCCAAUACUAAAGAACAGGAGUUGAAUUUUCAUUUAUUUCAGUGUGUAAGCAAGCAACAGGCUUUGCUCAGCCGGGCCAAAAGAACUCAGAAACGUUUGCAAAUACUCUUGGCGAAGCAUGUUGUCAAACACUGUGACCAGCAGAUGAAAUGCUUUGUGAGACGCCAACUACAGAGAAUGAAAGCCUUUCAUGAUCCAUCCGGUGUUUUGGGUGGCAGCUAUCAUAGAUGCACCAACAUUAAAAUGGAAAACAUAGAGGCUAAUACAAGUAAAGAUAUACAGCGUGAUUUUGAUGUUUCAUCUGAUGAAAUCAAGGUGUUUGCUCGCUCAACAGCUGGACUCCUAUUUCAUGCGGAAGAGAGUUUGGAUUCUGAUGCCACUUGUAGCAGCUCAAGUGAAGAUGAUGAGGAGCAGAUUUCCAGAAAAGCUAUUAACUAUAGAUCUGACACGAAAUGGCUGGUAGACAGAGCUAAUGUUGGCUGUCGCUGGACAUGGCUUCAAGCCCAGAUUUCAGAGCUAGAAUACAAAAUCCAGCAACUCACUGACCUUCACAGGCAGAUUCGUGCCACCAAGGGAAUGGUGAUCCUAGAAGAAUUUCCAAAUCCAAAAGACUUCUUGAAGAAACGAACACAAUUGAUGGACCAUGAAGCUUUAUUAAACACCACAGGGAAUUCACAUGCUUCCCUUGAGAGGCAGGAUGCUUGGCCGGAACAUGAUUUCGAAAUGUCACCCAGCAGUCCAACUCUGCUUCUCCGUAACAUAGAAAAACAGAGUGCUCAACUGAGUGAAAUAAUCAGCAGUCUGAUUACUCCUCUCAAUCUGUCUCCCACAUCAUCUCCUCUUUCCUCAAAGCCCUCUAAGCAGAAAGAGUUGGCCAAUGGCAUCUCUAUAAGAGAUUCAGAGAACAAUGAGGAGAUAUCAUGCACCAGUAGUUGGUUGGUUGAUCAACAACACCUGAAGAGGAGGAGGAAAGAAAAGGCGAAGUUGAGAACAUCGUCUGUUGCCAUGAUAUGCACAUCUGCUCGCACUAGACCACUUCAGAGUUUUCAGAGGAGAAAGCUGUAUAAAAUGAGCACUGCUUUCAGUUCAAACCAGCAGGCUAUGCAACUGAGAGAUACCUUGUUUAAUACAGAAGAGGUGGUCCCAGCCUCCACGUGGAGUACAUAUGAAUUGAGCACCAAGCCCAGGACACAAAAACAACUCAUGUUAGAAUUGGACACCUCAUUCCAUCCUGUCUUAUCAUUUCCUUCUGAUACUUCUCUUCAUGUACACUUUAAAACACUGCUCAAGAAUUAUGAGGUCAAAGGUGAAUCUGCCCAUGGUUUAGAGUUUAAAAUGUCUCCAUCAAAUGAAUAUUUUCAUUAUAAAGGUCCUCCUCAACAGUGGAUCUGUGGAUUUGAAUCCAGUUCCAAACAUCAGACUGUGUCAGAAAUAUCUGAACAGCUGCUAGAGGGAAGAAAGAAAAGACAUUUAAGUGAGACAUUGAUUGGAGAAAGUAAUAAGAGAUGUGAAGCAUUUUCCUUUCAAUGUGCAGAGCCAGAAUCCCAGAGUCCUUUUACAGGAGCAGCCAAUGGAGACAUGAUGUCUAGAUCAAGUCAUAGUAUAUCAACACAGCUCAAUUCAAGACGUAGACUGAGAAGUGAGAGCUCCUAUGAUAUAGAUAAUAUUGUUAUACCUAUGUCACUCGUGGCACCGUCCAAGCUGGAGAAACUACAAUAUAAGGAAAUUCUCACUCCAAGCUGGAGAAUUGUUAAUCUUGAGCCUUUGGGAAGCCUGCAUGAAGAUGAAGACAAGGCAGAAGAUCUGUCAGAUGAUGCCUAUGCUUCGCGUCAUGCAAACUACGAAGACAAAGAGAGAGCACGCUGGUCGCUGUGGCAACAGUGCCGAUGGCCAAGAAGGAACAGAACAUAUAGCAGAAGUUCUGAGGGACAAGAUCCAGCAUUGAAAGAAAAACAAGGCAACUCUGAUUUUAUAUCUGAUUUUUCUGAAAGCAUUGCUGACACUACUUCAGAAAUCCACAGUUCUCUCUGCUUGAGGGAGUCAGAGUCUUCAGAAAGAAACCAAAAAACAAAGUCUGUUCUUUGGGAACGUCGAUCUUUUCCACUAAAGGCUGAAGAAGCAGGUGCUUUACUAUGCCAAGAUCAGAUAACUGAUCAGCACGAGAAUUCAGAGGUGGCCAUCCCCAGUGACUUUGACUGUACCUCACAUGCUGCCUUCAGUUUACCAAAUAACCAGCCACAAAAGAAAAGCUCUCCCAAUGAGCUGGAAGAGUACAACCAAGUUGACUUGGGAAUUGGCUGCAUGAAAAAACAGAGGUGACAGAAAGUAAUGCGGUUCAUCAAGAAAGCUAACCAAAGUGAAAGAAUGCGUAAGUUUUGACAGGCAGGAUAAGUGCCCAAGAGAUGUAAAGACUGAAUGCUCUUAAACUGCAACCACCUUUGCCUGCAUAUCUGAAAGGAUGACCUAUUUUAAAUGUACGUAUGGUUGCUGUGCAGCAGAAUAAGGUUUUUUUCUCCAUAGCAAUGCAACAAUUUUAACUGAACACAGAAAAAGCUACCCAAGAAGUUGUUUUUGUAAGUGGCAGGAGCACAAUCGUCCUCUGUCCUUGUAAGGAAACUGGUUUGCCCAGUGAUACAUCAAGCAUUGUAAAUGUGAUGAAUGGUUACUGGAGAAAGACAAAAAGUUUUAUAUGAAGAAAAAUCAGUUGAAAUAAUUGAUUUUCUUAAUUUCACAAUGGAUCUGUUUCAUUUUUGAGUGCCAGGGAAAGACUAAGAAUUAGAAAUACUAUAAUUUAGCUACUUAGCUUUUUUAUUACAACUUAUUUUAAACACUUUGUCUAGCCUACAAAAACUAGGCAAUAGCAAUGUUUUAGAUACUGAGGGAAAACCAAAUUAUUUUCAUACUCAAAUUCCAAAAUGCAGUUUGUGGAAUGUUACCUGCAUGCUCCCGUGAUGCUAAGUGUUGAAAAGCAGUAGAGGCUUGCCAUAUACAUUCAUGAUGCUAAUGCAAUAAGACUCUAUACUGCUGUGAAACCAAAUAGCUCUUCUGUGAGGAACUGUUGAAGGUUUUAAGAAAAGCCCAAUUGUUAAGCAAGCUUUUCUUCAAUGCCAUGUCCAAUUGUAGUUCCCCCACCCCACCCCAGACUGGAAGUACGCUGGAUAUUGUAAAAAUGUUCAGUUGCAUUUCUACAGUACAGACUGUUAAGAUUGUAGUUUACUGCAAAUUUGGUUUUUAACUUUUAAAAAUACUUUUUGUCCAAUUAAUUAAAUUUUUAAUCUUGUCUCUGACACAACUAUUUUCAAUGCAAGUUUUUAAAAUUAAAAAAUUAUUUCUGUA